This 411-nucleotide ribosomal RNA is filed under the name Ixodes scapularis (black-legged tick). Its description in RNAcentral is "partial 12S ribosomal RNA". Lineage: Eukaryota; Metazoa; Arthropoda; Arachnida; Ixodida; Ixodidae. The record is from RNAcentral.
UACUAUGUUACGACUUAUCUCACUUCUGAGAGCGACGGGCGAUAUGUGCAUAUUUUAGAGCUUGAUUCAAAUACUCAUAAUAUUAGUAUUUUACUAUUAAAUCCUAAAAAUUCUUUCAACAAAAAAAAUUACAUUAAAAUUAAUGUAAUUCACCUCAUUCAUAAUUAUUUGAUGCACCUUGACUUAAUAUAUUUUUUUUAAAAAAAAUUUUAAAUAUAACUAUUCAAUAUAAUUUAUAUAGUGGUAUACAAACUGAUUUUAAUUACUAAAUUAAGUAAGAUUAAGGCGUUGUGUCCAUUACAGAGCAAAUUCCUCUAAUAAGCUUAAAAUACCGCCAAAAUUUUUUGAUUUCAUAAAUUUUAUUUACUCCUAAUAUAUAACUUAAAAUAAUAGGGUAUCUAAUCCUAGUUU